GUGGGACUGCCAAACCCACAAACGAUUUGAGACUACCUCUCAGUUCAUGGCUUAGAAAAUGUAGUCUGUGUUAAGAGCUACGCAUGCUCCUAAGAGCCCAUAGUUUAGCCUAAAAGUCAUUCUGAUUGAUUCAUACACUGGCCAGGAUUUGGAGCAACAGGGAGGUGGGAGCAACAAAUAGAGCCAGGGAAAAAAGAAUGCAAUCAACAGAAAAUAUACUUCAGAGCUCUGUGGUAGUAGAGAUACUGGGUGCUAUUAGUAGUCAGUGGGAUUGAUGCUGGGACACCCUUAGAAAAGGCAGCAGGUAAUGAGAAACAGCAUUAAGAACAAAUCAAGGUGGGAAAAAUGUACUGCUCUUUCUUCUGAGAGAUUGUGGAUGGAAAACUUGGAGAGAGAUGGUGAAAAUACGAAAAGAGGCCAAACAAACAAAUUCCAUUAGAACCAGCACAGUGUUUUUAAAUCAUGUCCUUUAAUAAUCUAUUACUUGCAUUACCAUAACACAGCAUUGCAUUAUUUGGGCAUGCAAACAAUUGUUGAGUUCCCAACUUCUGCUGCUGGAAAAAAAUGAUGACCUGGGGGAAAGAAUUUCUGUAGUAAAUACCUCAGCAUGAAUAAUAAGAUGAGGUUAUUUAAGUGACAGCUCCUUGAAAAAUUAGCCUAAGUUCCUAAUAACUGUACUACAUAGCUUAAAGGAAUCUAAUUUUAUCUCUGCCUCCCACACAGUAAAUCUCCCUAUCACAUUAUUUCCUUGCUUCAUUGCUAUUUCUUUGCUUAAUAAUCAGCUACUUAAAAGAUUGGGGAUAAUGUUAAUAAUGGGCAAAUUAGAUACACAGAAAAGAAAUGUUUUCUGUUCUUUUAGAAGUAGCCAGAAUGACUGUCAUUAAACCGAAAUCAAGACUUGAGGAUGCAGCAUAGAAACAUGGGCAAGCUGCUGUGGAACAGGGCAAGGACUCUGGCUAAUGUCGGGCACAAAACAUUAGUCAGUGUUGCAAUGGUAAAAUAUUUAACAACAGCAGCUUCACUCCCCUUCAGCACUUUUUCCCCAUAAACUAAUUAAGCUAUAAUAUUAUGAGCGCUUCCUUUCAGGCUAGGUUUCCCUUUCAGCAUGACUACGGGCAGGCUGGGCAAAGCUGGGUUAUUGCUGUGAUUAAAAAACUGGCACUACAUUU
RNAcentral lists this long non-coding RNA (1169 nucleotides) under Strigops habroptila (Kakapo). RNAcentral's name for it is "lncRNA (ENSSHBG00005000113.1)". The record is from RNAcentral. Lineage: Eukaryota; Metazoa; Chordata; Aves; Psittaciformes; Psittacidae.